RNAcentral lists this ribosomal RNA (450 nucleotides) under uncultured bacterium. RNAcentral's name for it is "bacterial SSU rRNA". It matches the Rfam family "Bacterial small subunit ribosomal RNA", at positions 1 to 459 of the family's 1533-position model. The record is from RNAcentral.
GCUUAGAGUUUGAUCCUGGCUCAGAUUGAACGCUGGCGGCAUGGCUAAAACAUGCAAGUCGAACGCGAAAGGGUCUUCGGAGGUGAGUAGAGUGGCGAAAGGGCGAGUAAUGCAUUUCUACCUUGCCCCAAGGUGGGGGAUACCGUCGAAAACUCGGAUGAAUCCCCCAUGGGGCCCCUUGAUCCGAGGGGUUCUGUGGCUGGAGGUUACACCUUGCUAUCGGGAUGUUUCCUAUGUACUUGUUCGUGAGGUCAAGGAUCGCCAACGCGAAUACGGGUAUGUGGUGUGACAUCACGACUGACACCCUGCCGAGAGACAUACUGCACGGAGUCCUACCGAAUGUUGCACUAUGCAAUAUUCCGUGAUGCACCAAUGCCUGAUGGAGCAUUGCCCUUCGCAGAAUGAAACCUGUUGUGGUGUUUUCUUAUGUCAGGGGCUACCCCCUUCUGA